RNAcentral lists this ribosomal RNA (484 nucleotides) under uncultured bacterium. Its description in RNAcentral is "partial 16S ribosomal RNA". It matches the Rfam family "Bacterial small subunit ribosomal RNA", at positions 29 to 507 of the family's 1533-position model. The record is from RNAcentral.
AUUGAACGCUGGCGGCAUGCUUUACACAUGCAAGUCGAACGGCAGCGCGGGCUUCGGCCUGGCGGCGAGUGGCGAACGGGUGAGUAAUACAUCGGAACGUGCCCAGUAGUGGGGGAUAGCUCGGCGAAAGCCGGAUUAAUACCGCAUACGACCUGAGGGUGAAAGCGGGGGAUCUUCGGACCUCGCGCUAUUGGAGCGGCCGAUGGCAGAUUAGCUAGUUGGUGGGGUAAAGGCCUACCAAGGCGACGAUCUGUAGCUGGUCUGAGAGGACGACCAGCCACACGGGGACUGAGACACGGCCCAGACUCCUACGGGAGGCAGCAGUGGGGAAUGUUGGACAAUGGGCGAAAGCCUGAUCCAGCAAUGCCGCGUGUGUGAUGAAGGCCUUCGGGUUGUAAAGCACUUUUGGCGGGAACGAAAAGGACUGUGCCAAUACCACGGUUCGAUGACGGUACCCGCAGAAUAAGCACCGGCUAACUACGUG